This 464-nucleotide ribosomal RNA is filed under the name uncultured bacterium. RNAcentral's name for it is "partial 16S ribosomal RNA". It matches the Rfam family "Bacterial small subunit ribosomal RNA", at positions 339 to 795 of the family's 1533-position model. The record is from RNAcentral.
CUACGGGAUGCUCCAGUGAGGAAUUUUGCGCAAUGGGGGAAACCCUGACGCAGCAACGCCGCGUGAGCGAAGAAGGCCCUCGGGUCGUAAAGCUCCGUCAAGUGGGAAAAAAAUCUUUUAAUCAAUAGUUAAAAGACUUGAUGGUACCACUGGAGGAAGCACCGGCUAACUCCGUGCCAGCAGCCGCGGUAAUACGGAGGGUGCAAGCGUUGUUCGGAAUUACUGGGCGUAAAGAGCGUGUAGGCGGUUUGGCAAGUCAGAUGUGAAAGCCCCGGGCUUAACCUGGGAAGUGCAUUUGAAACUGCUUGACUAGAGUAUGGGAGAGGAGAUUGGAAUUCCUGGUGUAGAGGUGAAAUUCGUAGAUAUCAGGAGGAACACCCGUGGCGAAGGCGAUUCUCUGGACCAAUACUGACGCUGAGACGCGAAAGCGUGGGGAGCAAACAGGAUUAGAUACCCGCGUAGUC